This 143-nucleotide microRNA precursor is filed under the name Schistosoma mansoni. RNAcentral's name for it is "microRNA sma-mir-8484 precursor". The record is from miRBase by way of RNAcentral. Lineage: Eukaryota; Metazoa; Platyhelminthes; Trematoda; Strigeidida; Schistosomatidae.
CAACAGGUUUGUCUAUUUAACCAGCUAUCACAGUUUACCAUUUAUUUUUUGGAAGAACACUGCGACGUUUAUCACCAGACACUCGUAAUCAUCUUUUAAAAAAUUAUGGAAGAUUUCGCGUAUUUGAGGCAUACGACCAUUUC